Molecule: small nuclear RNA, 150 nt
Organism: Zalophus californianus (California sea lion)
Lineage: Eukaryota; Metazoa; Chordata; Mammalia; Carnivora; Otariidae
Gene: U12
Rfam family: U12 minor spliceosomal RNA
About the family: Although the U12 sequence is very divergent from that of U2, the two are functionally analogous.
Source: Ensembl
AUACCUUCAAUUUAUGAAUAAGGAAAAUAACGAUUUGAGGUGACGCCCGAAUCCUCACUGCUAAUGUGAGAUGAAUUUUUGAGCGGGUAAGGAUUGCCUCUAAGGUGACCUGCCUACUUUGCGAGAAGCCUGGGAGUCACGAUCUGCCCC